This is a microRNA precursor of Oryza sativa Japonica Group (Japanese rice), 197 nucleotides long. It matches the Rfam family "MIR812 microRNA precursor family". Lineage: Eukaryota; Viridiplantae; Streptophyta; Magnoliopsida; Poales; Poaceae. The record is from Rfam.
AAUAAGUGCAGUUUUGCACUAUUCACGUUCAACGUUUGACCGUUCGUUUUAUUUGAAAAAUUUUUAUGAUUAGUAUUUUUAUUGCUAUUAGAUGAUAAAACAUGAAUAGUACUUUAUGUGUGACUAAAUAUUUUAAAAUUUUUCAAAUAAGACGGAUGGUCAAACGUUGAGCACGGAUAUUCACGACUGCACUUAUU